CAGCCGCCACGGUAAUACGAAGGGGGCUAGCGUUGUUCGGAAUUACUGGGCGUAAAGGGCGCGUAGGCGGCCAUUCAAGUUAGAUGUGAAAGCCCUGGGCUCAACCUAGGAAUUGCAUUUGAUACUGUUUGGCUUGAGUUCGGGAGAGGUGAGUGGAAUUCCCAGUGUAGGGGUGAAAUUCGUAGAUAUCGGAAGGAACACCUGUGGCGAAAGCGGCUCACUGGACAAUAACUGACGCUGAUGCACGAAAGCUAGGGGAGCAAACAGGAUUAGAUACCCCUGUAGUCCCUGUCUCUUAUAC
RNAcentral lists this ribosomal RNA (301 nucleotides) under uncultured bacterium. RNAcentral describes it as "partial 16S ribosomal RNA". It matches the Rfam family "Bacterial small subunit ribosomal RNA", at positions 509 to 807 of the family's 1533-position model. The record is from RNAcentral.